Molecule: long non-coding RNA, 1685 nt
Filed under: Macaca fascicularis (crab-eating macaque)
Lineage: Eukaryota; Metazoa; Chordata; Mammalia; Primates; Cercopithecidae
Description: lncRNA (ENSMFAG00000047222.1)
Source: RNAcentral
UUUUUCUUUUCUUUUCUUUUUUUUUUUUGCCAGUGUCACUUCUUCUGUGUGUUUUCAACACCACCACUUUCUUCAUCUGUCAAUUUCACCUUAACUAAGUUCCUUGGGUUCCAUAUUAGUGUCUCUCAAAGGGUGGUGGUGUCCAGAUUUCCACGGUCAGCUAAUUCUUCUAUAACUUUGUUUACAUCAGACUCAUAUUUAACUUCCACCAUUGUCACUUUUCAUUUCUUUGCUGCAUUUUUAUCAUUGUUGACCAAUUUCCUGUUUUGAUCACCCAUUUUUAAAAAAUGCCACGUAGGGUUAUCACUGGCAGAGAAGGAGGCAACCUGGUGCUGUCUGUGCCUGAACUGAAUAACAGAGGGGCACUAACCCAGUCUGACCAAUCACAGGCCGACUGAGAAAACAAGGAUAUGACUGGUCACUGAUCAUGAUGUGCAUCUGUCAUUCCCACAGUGAUCUGUGGACUGAAUUGCUAGCAGUGAAGUUUGUGCAAUUACUCAAUUAAUAUACUGAGAUAACUGAAAUUUGAACUGUGUUGUUGGGAGAUGGAUAUUAUUUAACUCAUGGUAACAAAAACGCAUGCAUUGAGGACCCAUGCAAAAUGUGAACGGUCUAUAUGGACAUACUUGACAAACAUUUUUUACAAAAUUGAGAUCAUGAAUAUAUAAUUUUGUACUUGCUCUUUUAACUUAGCCUUAUAUCAUAAAGUUGUAUCCCUGUUAUUACUAGUCUCCAAUAAUGCUGUAGCAUAAUUUAUGUGACUGGGGAAACACCAAGAGAACAGUAAAAUGAGAGCCAUAGAUUGGUAAAGAGGGAGGUGCUCCCUAGUAAGAAGCAACAUAGGGAAAGCCCAGGGAUCGGCCAGUGUAUGUGGGUAAGUUGGGAAGAAGGAGAAAACUAAUAUGGCUGGAAUAUAGGAUCUAUCUUAGAAAUAAAAUGACAAUAAUACAAAAAGUCCAUUUUCCCACACUUUAGUAAUAACAGUAAUACUAUUACUAUUACCAAUAGCAUGCUUACUAUAUUCCAGGUACUCUCAGACAUUAUCUCACUUAAUCUUCACAUUGACCUUGUUUGCUGUCAUCUCCUUCUCACACAUGAGGACCCUGAGGCUCAACACAGAUGUUGUAGUAAGCCUGUAAUAAAACCCUGGUUUCUGUAAUCCUGCCCUUGGCUGCUCCACAAUACUGCCCAAUGAAAGCACUUAUCAGCUUACAAAGUCCUUUUGCAUAUAUUGACACGAGGCAUGCAACUGGGUAAGUUGUGCCAGCUGCUGAGGUGUGGGGCUGUAAUCAAGCCUAUGCUGCUAGCCUAACCCGAGCCAUAAGACCACAUACUUCCAGAAGGGCUGCCUUUACCUAAUUUACACAAAGACGCAGUAUGGACUGGCCUUGGCCCUGGUCAACAUGACAGAUUCUCACCACAGCCCUCAGAGGUGACAGAGAAGUUAUGAUUGCUCCAAUUUUAUACUAAAACAAAACAAAACAAAACAAAAUGAACCAAAAAACCCCCCACAGCAGCUCCCAUUGGGUCAGUGAUUUAUCUAAGCUGAGAAUGAAUUGGUGAGAUAAAGAUGCAGUUGAGGAAGAUAUUAGAAUCCAGGCUGAGCAGGUUUCAUCUGAAGCAAAAUGCAACAGGGUACUGCGAGGUAUAUAUAAAUCAGGCUACACAUAAACUACCACAGAGUA